RNAcentral lists this ribosomal RNA (253 nucleotides) under uncultured bacterium. Its description in RNAcentral is "partial 16S ribosomal RNA". It matches the Rfam family "Bacterial small subunit ribosomal RNA", at positions 524 to 776 of the family's 1533-position model. The record is from RNAcentral.
UACGUAGGUGACCAGCGUUGUCCGGAUUUACUGGGCGUAAAGAGCGCGCAGGCGGUCGUUCAAGUCGAGUGUGAAAGCCCCCGGCUCAACUGGGGAGGGUCAUUCGAUACUGAUCGACUCGAAGGCAGGAGAGGGAAGUGGAAUUCCCGGUGUAGUGGUGAAAUGCGUAGAUAUCAGGAGGAACACCGGUGGUGUAGACGGCUUUCUGGACCGUAACUGACGCUGAGACACGAAAGCGUGGGUAGCAAACAGG